GUAUAUAGUUCAGUGGCAGAGCACUGGCCUAGAGAGCAUGAGGCCCUGGGCUCAAUCCCCAGCACUACA
RNAcentral lists this transfer RNA (69 nucleotides) under Marmota monax (woodchuck). Its description in RNAcentral is "tRNA.Ser". Lineage: Eukaryota; Metazoa; Chordata; Mammalia; Rodentia; Sciuridae. The record is from RNAcentral.